CAGCCGCCGCGGUAAUACCGGCGGCCCGAGUGGCGGUCACUAUUAUUGGGCUUAAAGCGUCCGUAGCCGGGUUGGGAAGUCCUCCGGGAAAUCUGGCCGCUUAACGGUCAGAAUGCCGGAGGAUACUCCCAGCCUAGGGAGCGGGAGAGGCCGAGGGUAUUCCCGGAGUAGGGGUGGAAUCCUAUAAUCCCGGGAGGACCACCUGUGGCGAAGGCGCUCGGCUGGAACGCGUCCGACGGUGAGGGACGAAGGCCAGGGGAGCAAACCGGAUUAGAUACCCGGGUAGUCCUGGCUGUAAACGAUGCGGACGUUGUGUCGGACAAGCUAUGAGCUUGUCCGGUGCCGGAGGGAAACCGUUAAGUCCGCCGCCUGGGGAGUACGGCCGCAAGGCUGAAACUUAAAGGAAUUGGCGGG
RNAcentral lists this ribosomal RNA (414 nucleotides) under uncultured microorganism. Its description in RNAcentral is "bacterial SSU rRNA". It matches the Rfam family "Archaeal small subunit ribosomal RNA", at positions 459 to 872 of the family's 1478-position model. The record is from RNAcentral.